ACAAAUUAUCAGAUUAUCCCCACUUCUACGUGGAUGACAGAUUUAGCUUGUGAUUGAUCACAUGGGUAGGCUAUACUCCCUGGAAAGAGUAUGAAACCUCUUCCCAAUGUGAGGUUUCUUCCUUAGGAGGACGAGACAUUGGACUCCAUGUUGCUUGCAUGGUUUAUGUUGGUUAAGAGAACCUCCCUUAAGAUGAAAU
RNAcentral lists this long non-coding RNA (199 nucleotides) under Capsicum annuum. RNAcentral's name for it is "long non-coding RNA (CANN_LNC000443)". Lineage: Eukaryota; Viridiplantae; Streptophyta; Magnoliopsida; Solanales; Solanaceae. The record is from RNAcentral.